Molecule: long non-coding RNA, 2039 nt
Filed under: Callithrix jacchus (white-tufted-ear marmoset)
Lineage: Eukaryota; Metazoa; Chordata; Mammalia; Primates; Cebidae
Description: lncRNA (ENSCJAG00000081657.1)
Source: RNAcentral
UCCCUUGGGCUGUGAAAAGGCCACCUUGGGGGCUGCACACUGCUCUGUGGGCUCCCUGAGGGUCCUCCCCUAGUUAUGGCAGCUGGAUAGUCACAAAGGGCUCAGAAGUGCCCUGUACGGGGUUCAUUUUCUGCUGUUAACCAUCUUGUAAUUCUUUUUUCUCCCUUUUUUAAACAGAGCUCUCACUCUGUCACCCAUGGGCAUGAUCUCCGCUCACUGCAACCCCCACCUCCUGGGUUCAAGAGAUUCUCCUGCUUCAGGAGAAUCCCAAGUAGCUGGGAUUAUGGGUGUGCACCACCAUUCCUGGCUAAUUUUUGUAUUUUUAGUAGAGAUGGGGGGUCUCAUCAUGUUGGCCAGGCUGGUCUCGAAUUCCUGAUCUCAAGUGAUCUGCUCACCUUGGCCUCCUAAAGUGCUGGGAUUACAGGCGUGGACCACUGCACCCAGGCCGUCUUGAAAUUCUUGGUAACAUUUCAACAAGGGGCUCUGCAUUCAUUUUCCCCAGGAUCCCAAACUUCAUGUGGACAUCUGCCAGCAGCGCACGCCUUUGGAGCCCCCGUCAUGUGCCCAGCUCUGUCCUAGGCUGGCCACACACACUGCCUCCUUGACUCCUGCCAGCCAUCUGUUACAGGCAUGGUCAUUCUGCAGAUGGGGAAACUGAGACUCAGAGAGCUCCUGAUUCAGGCACUACCAGGCCGUUCAGGUGUCUUCGCUCAUUCAUGCAGCAACUUCAAGCACCUACUAUGUGCAGGGGGACACAGAGGUAACAAAAGACAACACAGUCCUUGCUCUCAAGGAUCCAGCAGUGAUCCCAAGGACAACAACACACGCCAGUUCAGGUCUAUGUCCCUGUAAUAAGGUAAGAACUCCAGGUUGCAAUCCAGAUACUCAAUACAUAUGGCAUUGGUUUAUUUUUCUUACUAUCAACAGAAUUGUGACUGGAUCCCUAUCGCACUAGGCUGGGCAGGGAACUAAACCCCAGGCUGUUUCAUAUUCUAGCUGCUAAUAGUAACAUCCAAGCCUCCUCAACAGCUCACGUGUAUUGAGUGGUUACUAAAUGCUGGCCCCAGGGAAGGUCUUUUUUUUUUUUUUUUUGAGACGGGGUAUUGCUCAUUGCCCAGGCUGGAGUGCAGUGGCAUGAUCACUGCCUGCUGCAGCCUGGACCUCCAAGGUCAAGCGAUCCUCCCACCUCAGCCUCCGAAGUAGCUGGAACUAAAGGCAUGUACCACCGCACCCAGCUAAGUUUUUUUCUUUUUUUUUCAGAGAUGGGGUUUUGCCUUGUUUCCCAGGCUGAUUUUGAACUCCUAGGCUCAAGUCUUCUGCCCAUCUCUGCCUCCUGAAGUGUUGGGAUUACUGGUGUGAGCCACUGCGUCCGGCUGUGGGCCAAAUCUUUAGAAGCAUUUCAUCCUCUCGAAGCAAUCUGAUGAAGUCAUUUAGGGAGCCCACAAAGGGAGGAAAGGAAGGUCUGGAAGGAUGAGCGGCUUGUCCUAGAAUACAUAGCUGCGAGGUUUUUAACCCAGGUCUGGUUGGAUGAGGGAGGGGACCUCUGCCAUGGGGCAGUCGUGACAGGUGCAGGGUGCCAUGGUCUUCUCCAAGGGUGCAGCUCCUCGAGGUGGGGUUUCUCCCCUGGUUUCUGUUCUUGGGCUGAAGGGCCCUCAACUCCCAGGUGGGUGUUUCAACUCGGAGUGGCAGGGUAGGGACGGGGUGUCUCAGUCCCAGUAGAAACAUCAGAUGCCAGGAAGCAGCUAGAUCACCCAGAACAGCAGGCACAGCUUUACGUGCACACCCACAGGCCCGGAUGCCGUUUUACCAUUUAAUGUGCUCCAGCAUCACCCAGCUAAGCCUGCCCCUUAUCCUCGGCCUGGCUGGCUGCUGCCCGUCAGGGAGCUAAACCGACUCCUGUGAAUGAGCGGCCAGGCCUUUUUGGGAGCCUUCCGGGUGUGACUCUGGGGAGGUGUCCACAUACAUCAGUCAUUCACCCACUUUUCACACCCAUGCACACUCAGCUGUGUACAUUCACAGACACACUCACUCACACCCAA